AGAGUUUGAUCCUGGCUCAGAUUGAACGCUGGCGGCGUGCUUAACACAUGCAAGUCGAGCGGUAACAGGCGUAGCAAUACGUGCUGACGAGCGGCGAACGGGUGAGUAAUGAUUCGGAAUCUUCCUCGUAGUGGGGAAUAACCUGGGGAAACUCAGGCUAAUACCGCAUACGAACUACGGUUGAAAGCAGGGGAUCGCAAGACCUUGCGCUAUGAGAUGAGCCGAAUUCGGAUUAGCUAGUUGGUGGGGUAAAGGCCUACCAAGGNCGACGAUCCGUAGCUGGUCUGAGAGGACAACCAGCCACACUGGGACUGAGACACGGCCCANACUCCUAUCGGAGGCAGCAGUGGGGAAUAUUGGACAAUGGGGGCAACCCUGNAUCCAGCGACGCCGCGGUGUGUGAAGAAGGCCUGCGGGUUGUAAAGCACUUUUAGUGGGGACAAAAAGCCGAGGGCUANCACCUUUNGGUCUUGAUUUANCCCAAAGAAAAAGCACCGGGCUAACUCUGUGCCNGCAGGCCGCGGUAAUACAGAGGGUGCAAGCGUNUAAUCGGAAUUACUGGGCGUAAAGCGUGCGUAGUCGGUUAUCUAAGUCAGGUGUGAAAUCCCCGGGCUCAACCUGGGGAAUUGCAUNUGAUACUGGGAUAGCUAGAGUUCGGNNGAGGGAAGUGGAAUUUCUGGGUGUAGNGGUGAAAUGCGUANAUAUCNGAAGGG
RNAcentral lists this ribosomal RNA (713 nucleotides) under uncultured bacterium. RNAcentral describes it as "bacterial SSU rRNA". It matches the Rfam family "Bacterial small subunit ribosomal RNA", at positions 8 to 705 of the family's 1533-position model. The record is from RNAcentral.